GCCCCCGUAGCUCAGUGGCGGAGCACCUCCAUGGCAGGGAGGGGUCACGCGGUCCGAUUCUGGUCGGGGGCUCCA
RNAcentral lists this transfer RNA (75 nucleotides) under Actinomycetota bacterium. Its description in RNAcentral is "Actinobacteria bacterium (soil metagenome) tRNA-Ala". It matches the Rfam family "tRNA". Rfam says of the family: Transfer RNA (tRNA) molecules are approximately 80 nucleotides in length. Their secondary structure includes four short double-helical elements and three loops (D, anti-codon, and T loops). The record is from RNAcentral. Lineage: Bacteria; Bacillati; Actinomycetota.